UAUUAUGAUGAUUUUUUUUAUAUUCACACUGUACUAGAUUGGUCUCUUUAACGAAGGGGCUAAUUGAUGACUACAAAAUAAAAAAUAACUGAUUUAAUGACUCUGAAA
This is a non-coding RNA of Saccharomyces cerevisiae Vin13, 108 nucleotides long. The record is from Rfam. NCBI's taxonomy places the organism in Eukaryota, Fungi, Ascomycota, Saccharomycetes, Saccharomycetales, Saccharomycetaceae.